Molecule: small RNA, 36 nt
Filed under: Fusarium venenatum
Lineage: Eukaryota; Fungi; Ascomycota; Sordariomycetes; Hypocreales; Nectriaceae
Source: RNAcentral
AGGGCUAUCGAGGCCGUGGAACCUCCUUUGAAUCUU